Molecule: non-coding RNA, 2712 nt
Organism: Kogia breviceps (pygmy sperm whale)
Lineage: Eukaryota; Metazoa; Chordata; Mammalia; Artiodactyla; Physeteridae
Source: RefSeq, a predicted model, not a curated record
GCGUGCGUGCAGCUCCUAUGCUUAGCCUAAGAGGUGGAGGGGCCGUGAGGAGUGUGGGCCCGAGGGUCCGUAGAUGACGUAUCAGUCGAUAGGCAUUUAUUCUACUGUUCGAGGAAAACAAAUAAGGGUGCAGCUUAGGCGAAAAGAAAAGCAUCUUAUUGCCAGAGUCUAAACUCCGGAAUGUGUCUGAGACCGUGUGUGUGGAUACACGUGUACUUGAAACAGGCCCGCCUGUGUGUACAGCUCUUGCUGUAAGUCAACGCUUUACCGGAGCUAUCGCGCUUAAGCCUCAGAACAACUUCAUGAGGUCUACUUCUAACAGGCUUGUGUAUAUGCAUUCUUAUUCUAUCCUGGAUUGGAAUCAGAAAAUUGGACAGUGUUGCAGGUUCUGACUGACGCAGGCACACCGACAGUGACGAAAGUGAGAACUGGUAGAGUCUGAUUCUCCUGUCUAGAAUUGGUAUGGCAUUAGUGAUUUGCCUCCAACAAACAUAAUGUGGAUAGGAUGCUCCAGACUUCUACGCUUAGGUCAUAAGUGAUACAGUUUCACCUGGCUCUCAGUCUUGGGACCCUUGGAGCCCAGAGCCCUGUUGUGAGGAAGCCCACGCCACAAGGAGAGGCCCUGUGCAGGUGUUCUGGCUGAAAGUUCUAGCUAAGGUGCCAGCCGUACAUGAGUACGGAUUGCUAGGCGUGGAAGUGAACACGCCUUCGGAUGAUGCAAGCCUUCUGCCUAUGAGCUGCCCCAGCUGACUCCCAGUGGACAGGAAACAAGCUGUCUGCAGAGCCCUACCCAUACUGCAUAUUCAUGAGCAAGUAAUGUGUUUUAAACAACUAAGUUUUGGGGGUGGUUUGUUUUGUAUUUGAGUCCCUGCUUCCAUUAAAUCUCUAGCUCAGGUUAGCUGUAACAACUAGGAACACUUUCCCUCCACUUUUCCUUGUUUCCCUAGCCAGACUGAGAUCUUAGCACCUCCAGGUACUAAUUGUGGAUGAUUGAGUGUGGUUUUGAAGUGCUGUUAGGAACAAAACCCACCCUUAUGGGGACCCAUUCUAGCCAAAGUCCUUUUCCUUGAAGGCUUAGUGGUUGAGCAGGGGAAAAAGAAAGCUUGAUGCCCUCCAUCUCUCCUUUUCUUCUUCACUAGGUAUCCCUAGUUUUAAAAAAGAGGGGAAAGCAAGAUUUAAUCUUUUUCUGCCCUCAUCUCCCUUCUGAAUUCAAAUCUUUGGAAAGGUGCUGUCUUUUUCACUGAAAAGGUUCACAGCCUUUUCAGUCUUAUAAAGGGACCAAACCAGCCACAGCUUUUUAUUCCUUAUGAAGGAAGCAAAACAGAGUUCCUCCUCCUGAACCCAAGGCCCACGUCUCCUCCCUCCCCAGACCAGAAUGGGGAUGGAUCCCUUACUCUGGCCCCACCAGCCAGUCACUUUCCCAUCCCACCAACUCUUUCCAACUCUAGACCUUUCUUGAAUCCCUCUUCUCUCUAUCCCCACUGCCACUAGGAACACAGCAGUGGUUCUAGUUGAUUCUUACUUAGAUCACAGGAUAUUUUAUUUUCUAUCUUCCAGUCUCCACGACCCCAACUGGUGUAAUCUUUUCAAGGACCUGUAAUCUUUUCAUACUUGACCAUGCAUUUCCAUUAGAAAAAAAUCCUUUCAUGGUUCUCCCUUUCCUGCAGGUUUCAAUCCUGAGGCCCAAUAGUCAUUUACUCACAAAGCAGCGCAAACCCUUGAAAUUGUAUGCAAAAUUGUAGUAGAGGUCUAUAGGUGCAUUUUCUUUCCUGGAGAGAGACCAGAUUGCUUUCCCUAGGUUCUCAAAAGGGUAUGUGUUCCCCCAAAAGAUAGACUUGUAGGUCUCAGGCUAAAGUCCAAACUCCCCAGCAUGGACUACAAAGUUCUGUGUGACCUGGCCAUUCUUCCAGCCUGCUUUCUUUCCCUUCUCUUUACUCCUUUCACAUCCCACCCAUUCUUACUUGGCUGUAGUUGUUCACUACAGGCCUUUGUACAUACUGCUUUGCUUGCUCAGCUUGGGAAAUGCUUUCCUCUCUUAGCUGGUCUCACUUUUGCCCAUCCAGGAAACUGCCUUCUUUCUUUUAAGAAGCACCUCAGGCUAUGCUACCUACAGAAAGCUGUGUAGGCUAAGCAAGCUGGUUGUGAACUCUUGCCUCCCUGAAUCCAGCCUAGCAAUUGCUCUUUCUUUUAGCAUCUACCUCCUGGAUUUCUAAACUGGGGUGGGGGGUGGGAGAAAAGAUAAAACGUAAAGUAAAACCUGUAAAACAAGCAGUGACUAAUAAUUCUGCAGCACUUAUACAGAAGAAGAACCCCAGGCUGUAGUAUACAUUUUUGUAGUGCUUUCUUGGGAGGGUGAGAUUGGGUAGUAAAUGUGUAGUUUAUAGUUCCCUCAGAGUGUUGAUAAUAAAUACAGCACACACCUUCCUGUUAGAGAAUAUCCUAUACGAAUUUUCAACAUGAUCCAGUUUUCCUUUGUUUUAUGCCCAGCCACCAAAUGGUGUUAUGUAUUUAACAAAUACUGAAAUUAAUAAACAACAUAGUUCUGAUAUUCUGCCAUCUACUAGGACUGCUGGGUCAUUAAUCUGAAUUAUUUCUCCUUGGUUCACGCAACACCACCCAAAAAAGACGGUCUAACAUCAUGAUGUGUCCUUAAAAUUCUCCAUCUACCCAGGAAGAUGUUCCAACUUUUUGAGAUAAAUCGUGUACUAAGUC